AUUGAACGCUGGCGGCAGGCCUAACACAUGCAAGUCGAACGGUAACAGGAAGAAGCUUGCUUCUUUGCUGACGAGUGGCGGACGGGUGAGUAAUGUCUGGGAAACUGCCUGAUGGAGGGGGAUAACUACUGGAAACGGUAGCUAAUACCGCAUAACGUCGCAAGACCAAAGAGGGGGACCUUCGGGCCUCUUUCCAUCGGAUGUGCCCAGAUGGGAUUAGCUAGUAGGUGGGGUAACGGCUCACCUAGGCGACGAUCCCUAGCUGGUCUGAGAGGAUGACCAGCCACACUGGAACUGAGACACGGUCCAGACUCCUACGGGAGGCAGCAGUGGGGAAUAUUGCACAAUGGGCGCAAGCCUGAUGCAGCCAUGCCGCGUGUAUGAAGAAGGCCUUCGGGUUGUAAAGUACUUUCAGCGGGGAGGAAGGGAGUAAAGAUAAUCCCUUUACUCAUUGACGUUACCCGCAGAAGAAGCACCGGCUAACUACGUG
This 490-nucleotide ribosomal RNA is filed under the name uncultured bacterium. Its description in RNAcentral is "partial 16S ribosomal RNA". It matches the Rfam family "Bacterial small subunit ribosomal RNA", at positions 30 to 507 of the family's 1533-position model. The record is from RNAcentral.